This 467-nucleotide ribosomal RNA is filed under the name uncultured Bacillus sp. RNAcentral describes it as "bacterial SSU rRNA". It matches the Rfam family "Bacterial small subunit ribosomal RNA", at positions 335 to 793 of the family's 1533-position model. The record is from RNAcentral. Lineage: Bacteria; Bacillati; Bacillota; Bacilli; Caryophanales; Bacillaceae.
ACUCCUACGGGAGGCAGCAGUAGGGAAUCUUCCGCAAUGGACGAAAGUUUGACGGAGCAACGCCGCGUGAGCGAUGAAGGCCUUCGGGUCGUAAAGCUCUGUUGUUAGGGAAGAAUAAGUGCUAGUUGAAUAAGCUGGCACCUUGACGGUACCUAACCAGAAAGCCACGGCUAACUACGUGCCAGCAGCCGCGGUAGUACGUAGGUGGCAAGCGUUGUCCGGAAUUAUUGGGCGUAAAGCGCGCGCAGGCGGUUUCUUAAGUCUGAUGUGAAAGCCCCCGGCUCAACCGGGGAGGGUCAUUGGAAACUGGGAAACUUGAGUGCAGAAGAGGAAAGUGGAAUUCCAAGUGUAGCGGUGAAAUGCGUAGAGAUUUGGAGGAACACCAGUGGCGAAGGCGACUUUCUGGUCUGUAACUGACGCUGAGGCGCGAAAGCGUGGGGAGCAAACAGGAUUAGAUACCCUGGUAG